UGCAAGUCGAGGGGUAACAUGGGGUAGCAAUACCCUGAUGACGACCGGCAAACGGGUGCGGAACACGUACGCAACCUUCCCAUAACUGGUGAAUAGCCCUCCGAAAGGAGGAUUAAUACACCGUAACAUAACGAUGUGGCAUCAUGUUGUUAUUAUAGGCUUCGGCCGGUUUUGGAUGGGCGUGCGCCUGAUUAGGUAGUUGGCGGGGUAACGGCCCACCAAGCCUACGAUCAGUAACUGGUGUGAGAGCACGACCAGUCACACGGGCACUGAGACACGGGCCCGACUCCUACGGGAGGCAGCAGUAAGGAAUAUUGGUCAAUGGACGAAAGUCUGAACCAGCCAUGCCGCGUGAAGGAUGAAGGCCCUCUGGGUUGUAAACUUCUUUUAUAGGGGACGAAAAAAGCUCAUUCUUGAGCACUUGACGGUACCCUAGGAAUAAGCACCGGCUAACCCCGUGCCAGCAGCCGCGGUAAUACGGAGGGUGCAAGCGUUAUCCGGAUUUACUGGGUUUAAAGGGUGCGUAGGUGGGCAGUUAAGUCAGUGGUGAAAUCUCCGGGCUUAACCCGGAAACUGCCAUUGAUACUAUCUGUCUUGAAUAUCCUGGAGGUGAGCGGAAUAUGUCAUGUAGCGGUGAAAUGCUUAGAUAUGACAUAGAACACCAAUUGCGAAGGCAGCUCACUACGGGGUCAUUGACACUGAGGCACGAAAGCGUGGGGAUCAAACAGGAUUAGAUACCCUGGUAGUCCACGCCCUAAACGAUGGAUACUCGACAUCAGCGAUACACUGUUGGUGUCUGAGCGAAAGCAUUAAGUAUCCCACCUGGGAAGUACGAUCGCAAGAUGAAACUCAAAGGAAUUGACGGGGGUCCGCACAAGCGGUGGA
Molecule: ribosomal RNA, 885 nt
Filed under: uncultured Flavobacteriia bacterium
Lineage: Bacteria; Pseudomonadati; Bacteroidota; Flavobacteriia
Description: bacterial SSU rRNA
Rfam family: Bacterial small subunit ribosomal RNA
Source: RNAcentral